RNAcentral lists this long non-coding RNA (2155 nucleotides) under Phasianus colchicus (ring-necked pheasant). RNAcentral describes it as "lncRNA (ENSPCLG00000007069.1)". The stretch from base 596 to 678 matches the Rfam family "mir-221 microRNA precursor family". The record is from RNAcentral. Lineage: Eukaryota; Metazoa; Chordata; Aves; Galliformes; Phasianidae.
GGCCGCGACGGCGGGGCGCGGACAGGUGGGCUGGCGGGGGGCGGGCCGCGGCCGUGUGUAGGCAGCGGAGCGGCUGCGGAACGGCGGCGGCGGUGGCGUCGGGAGCCCCGGCCCCGCGAUAAAAGGGAAGGGGCUGGGCGGCGGGCGGUGCGCGUUGCGGCACUGGGGGGGGGGAGCGUGGCUGGGAAGGAGGGAGGGAGCGAGCGAAGGAGCCGCCUCCCGCAGGAAUCCCGGGCGGGUGGCAGUAACAGUAGUAGCAGCGGCGGCAGCCGGGACGCGCGGCUCCCCCUGGCUGCGCGGCGGCGGGAGGCCGGUGAGCAUCGAGGAGCAGCCGCCGCCUCAUCCUGCGGCAGCAGCCGGCGCUGCACGGAGAACGCAGGUGGCAGUGUAGAAGCCAAGAACAAAAAUUGGCAGAAAUUACAUUCUGUGUACGAGAGAAUGAAGAGUAUACUCAUGACUAAGCACAGGAACCUGGAAAACCACAGGCUUUGGUCAGGUGAUCCAUGGUGACUGGUCAGCCCACCAAGAGGGUACCUCAGCAACCAGGUGGUGUUGGACUAAUGCUGUGGAUCGUUCAGCCCAGAACUUGUAGUUGCCCAUCAAUCGCUCAGUAGUCAGUGUAGAUUCUGUCUUUACAAUCAGCAGCUACAUCUGGCUACUGGGUCUCUGAUGACAUCUCGUAUCUUCCAUCUAGACUGUUUGUUGGAUUUCUGUCUUCUCUCCUCGGUGCCGAGCAAAUUCACAGUGCUAACAAGUUAACAUCGGAAGUGUGGCCCCAAGUAAAGGAUUGGAUAUAUUGGAUGUUGGAUCUACUUUACAGUGGGAAUCAGAUCAAAUAUCUGAAUGUUUUAUAUUGGGAAGCAGAAAUGUUUUCCACAGCCUCUUCUGGGGGCUGUAGUUUAACUGGUAUCUGUAAAUUUGAACUAUAAAAAUGAUUGGAUUUCUUCAGUGAAGAGUCUUCAGCCUACCCUAAGCAAAGGAUGGGUGUUGAAAAAGGUAUCUUGUCUGAUUGUGUGACUGUUGCAUAUUAGGGGAGGAAAUGUACUGUGAACUGCGGUGCACACAGCUGCUGUUAAUCAGUUGUGUGGGAAGACUGUCCAGGUUUGGGGCAUGAACCUGGCAUACAAUGUAGAUUUCUGUGUUUGUUAAGCAACAGCUACAUUGUCUGCUGGGUUUCCAGCUGCCUGGAAAUACAAAGUGGAGGGUUGUCUACAAUUUUUUUUGUCAAGUUGCCUCUCUGCCAAUCUUAAAUAAGGAAAAAUAAUGCAAUUGAGGUCUGUGGGCUCCCUUACUGCUUGUUCCAGCUCAAGUGAUCCAGCUGGUGUCAGUAGAGCUGGAAGCCAGGGUGGAUCUGAAACUAGUUAAGAAGAAGGUGCUACAAGGGGCUGGAGUGUUGCAGGCAUCUGAACUUGAGCAGCUCUCAUGUAGGAGCUAAUGCAUGCUAUGUACAUAACCAUUAUCUUGCCUUGGUGAUGGUCUUGCUUUUUCUUUAAACUUCAGAGAGAGCUGUGUGUGUACUGUAUAGUUAGGAAAUGGUUUUCAAGAAGGGAGUAGUGGGAAACUUUUUAUAGGUCUGAUAAAUGUAUUUAUUUUAAAAAGCACUACACGUGGUAUGGCUUAUAAACAAAGUGCCUUGAAGUAAUUGGGGAGGGAUAAGCUAAUGUCUUGAGUGUUGGCACCAGCUGGAUCUCUUAAGCUUCACCAAAACUAGGAUGUUUCACUUGUGCACUAUAUUUAGCUGAGCAGUGACAAAACAGGCAGUUUCAGUUUGAGAAGAUUAGGCCUGGAAUAGCAGGAGACUGUCCAUUCAGACUUGAACUGCAGUCAUAGUAGUGAAUGGGGAAGUUUGUUCAGCUUGAGUUUGUACAGCAUAUGGCUGUACUGUUAACUUUUCAGUGUUGGUAUCAUGUGCACUUUGACCAUGGACACUGUAAGAGCUGUAAUGGCCAAAAAUGAAGAAAUGUGUGGCUUCGUUAAGCCUGUGUUCUCUGAAUUAUCUACAGGUUGUUAAGAUCAGCAGGCAUCCAGAACUUUUUUUAUUUGAAUAACAUAUUUAAAGAAGCAGAAGGGUUCCUAAGUGAGUGCUUGUAUUAAAAAAUUUUUGUUUCUGUUAAAAACGAAUAAAACUUCUAGUGGUAAGAACUGUGUCCUUCUG